RNAcentral lists this ribosomal RNA (253 nucleotides) under uncultured Conexibacter sp. RNAcentral describes it as "partial 16S ribosomal RNA". It matches the Rfam family "Bacterial small subunit ribosomal RNA", at positions 524 to 776 of the family's 1533-position model. The record is from RNAcentral. Lineage: Bacteria; Bacillati; Actinomycetota; Thermoleophilia; Solirubrobacterales; Conexibacteraceae.
GACGUAGGGGGCUAGCGUUGUCCGGAAUCAUUGGGCGUAAAGAGCGUGUAGGCGGCUUGAUAAGUCCGCUGUGAAAGUUCAGGGCUCAACCCUGGAAAGCCAGUGGAAACUGUCAAGCUAGAGUCCGGAAGAGGCGAGUGGAACUCCUGGUGUAGCGGUGAAAUGCGCAGAUAUCAGGAAGAACACCAAUGGCGAAGGCAGCUCGCUGGGACGGUACUGACGCUGAGACGCGAAAGCGUGGGGAGCAAACAGG